RNAcentral lists this ribosomal RNA (492 nucleotides) under uncultured bacterium. RNAcentral's name for it is "partial 16S ribosomal RNA". It matches the Rfam family "Bacterial small subunit ribosomal RNA", at positions 29 to 507 of the family's 1533-position model. The record is from RNAcentral.
AGUGAACGCUGGCGGUAGGCCUAACACAUGCAAGUCGAACGGCAGCACAGUAAGAGCUUGCUCUUACGGGUGGCGAGUGGCGGACGGGUGAGGAAUACAUCGGAAUCUACUUUUUCGUGGGGGAUAACGUAGGGAAACUUACGCUAAUACCGCAUACGACCUACGGGUGAAAGCAGGGGAUCUUCGGACCUUUCGCGAUUGAAUGAGCCGAUGUCGGAUUAGCUAGUUGGCAGGGUAAAGGCACACCAAGGCGACGAUCCGUAGCUGGUCUGAGAGGAUGAUCAGCCACACUGGAACUGAGACACGGUCCAGACUCCUACGGGAGGCAGCAGUGGGGAAUAUUGGACAAUGGGCGAAAGCCUGAUCCAGCCAUGCCGCGUGAGUGAAGAAGGCCUUCGGGUUGUAAAGCCCUGUUGUUGGGAAAGAAAAGCAGCAGGUUAAUACCCCGCUGUUCUGACGGUACCCAAAGAAUAAGCACCGGCUAACUUCGUG